This 462-nucleotide ribosomal RNA is filed under the name uncultured bacterium. Its description in RNAcentral is "partial 16S ribosomal RNA". It matches the Rfam family "Bacterial small subunit ribosomal RNA", at positions 28 to 507 of the family's 1533-position model. The record is from RNAcentral.
GACGAACGCUGGCGGCGUGCUUAACACAUGCAAGUCGAACGGAAAGGCCCUUCGGGGUACUCGAGUGGCGAACGGGUGAGUAACACGUGGGUGAUCUGCCCUGCACUUUGGGAUAAGCCUGGGAAACUGGGUCUAAUACCGAAUAUGAUCAUCGGCUUCAUGGUCGGUGGUGGAAAGCUUUUGCGGUGUGGGAUGGGCCCGCGGCCUAUCAGCUUGUUGGUGGGGUAAUGGCCUACCAAGGCGACGACGGGUAGCCGGCCUGAGAGGGUGACCGGCCACACUGGGACUGAGAUACGGCCCAGACUCCUACGGGAGGCAGCAGUGGGGAAUAUUGCACAAUGGGCGCAAGCCUGAUGCAGCGACGCCGCGUGAGGGAUGGCGGCCUUCGGGUUGUAAACCUCUUUCAGCACAGACGAAGCGCAAGUGACGGUAUGUGCAGAAGAAGGACCGGCCAACUACGUG